ACUUAAAUUGAAGAGUUUGAUCAUGGCUCAGAUUGAACGCUGGCGGCAGGCCUAACACAUGCAAGUCGAGCGGUAGCACAGAGAGCUUGCUCUCGGGUGACGAGCGGCGGACGGGUGAGUAAUGUCUGGGAAACUGCCUGAUGGAGGGGGAUAACUACUGGAAACGGUAGCUAAUACCGCAUAAUGUCGCAAGACCAAAGUGGGGGACCUUCGGGCCUCAUGCCAUCAGAUGUGCCCAGAUGGGAUUAGCUAGUAGGUGGGGUAACGGCUCACCUAGGCGACGAUCCCUAGCUGGUCUGAGAGGAUGACCAGCCACACUGGAACUGAGACACGGUCCAGACUCCUACGGGAGGCAGCAGUGGGGAAUAUUGCACAAUGGGCGCAAGCCUGAUGCAGCCAUGCCGCGUGUGUGAAGAAGGCCUUCGGGUUGUAAAGCACUUUCAGCGGGGAGGAAGGCGAUAAGGUUAAUAACCUCAUCGAUUGACGUUACCCGCAGAAGAAGCACCGGCUAACUCCGUGCCAGCAGCCGCGGUAAUACGGAGGGUGCAAGCGUUAAUCGGAAUUACUGGGCGUAAAGCGCACGCAGGCGGUCUGUCAAGUCGGAUGUGAAAUCCCCGGGCUCAACCUGGGAACUGCAUUCGAAACUGGCAGGCUAGAGUCUUGUAGAGGGGGGUAGAAUUCCAGGUGUAGCGGUGAAAUGCGUAGAGAUCUGGAGGAAUACCGGUGGCGAAGGCGGCCCCCUGGACAAAGACUGACGCUCAGGUGCGAAAGCGUGGGGAGCAAACAGGAUUAGAUACCCUGGUAGUCCACGCCGUAAACGAUGUCGAUUUGGAGGUUGUGCCCUUGAGGCGUGGCUUCCGGAGCUAACGCGUUAAAUCGACCGCCUGGGGAGUACGGCCGCAAGGUUAAAACUCAAAUGAAUUGACGGGGGCCCGCACAAGCGGUGGAGCAUGUGGUUUAAUUCGAUGCAACGCGAAGAACCUUACCUGGUCUUGACAUCCACAGAACUUUCCAGAGAUGGAUUGGUGCCUUCGGGAACUGUGAGACAGGUGCUGCAUGGCUGUCGUCAGCUCGUGUUGUGAAAUGUUGGGUUAAGUCCCGCAACGAGCGCAACCCUUAUCCUUUGUUGCCAGCGGUUAGGCCGGGAACUCAAAGGAGACUGCCAGUGAUAAACUGGAGGAAGGUGGGGAUGACGUCAAGUCAUCAUGGCCCUUACGACCAGGGCUACACACGUGCUACAAUGGCAUAUACAAAGAGAAGCGACCUCGCGAGAGCAAGCGGACCUCAUAAAGUAUGUCGUAGUCCGGAUUGGAGUCUGCAACUCGACUCCAUGAAGUCGGAAUCGCUAGUAAUCGUAGAUCAGAAUGCUACGGUGAAUACGUUCCCGGGCCUUGUACACACCGCCCGUCACACCAUGGGAGUGGGUUGCAAAAGAAGUAGGUAGCUUAACCUUCGGGAGGGCGCUUACCACUUUGUGAUUCAUGACUGGGGUGAAGUCGUAACAAGGUAACCGUAGGGGAACCUGCGGUUGGAUCACCUCCUUACCUUAAAGAA
Molecule: ribosomal RNA, 1554 nt
Filed under: Klebsiella pneumoniae
Lineage: Bacteria; Pseudomonadati; Pseudomonadota; Gammaproteobacteria; Enterobacterales; Enterobacteriaceae
Description: bacterial SSU rRNA
Rfam family: Bacterial small subunit ribosomal RNA
Source: RNAcentral